CAGCAGCCGCGGGAAUACGGAGGGUGCAAGCGUUAAUCGGAAUUACUGGGCGUAAAGCGCACGCAGGCGGUCUGACAAGUCAGAUGUGAAAUCCCCGGGCUUAACCUGGGAACUGCAUUUGAAACUGUCAGGCUGGAGUCUUGUAGAGGGGGGUGGAAUUCCAGGUGUAGCGGUGAAAUGCGUAGAGAUCUGGAGGAAUACCGGUGGCGAAGGCGGCCCCCUGGACAAAGACUGACGCUCAGGUGCGAAAGCGUGGGGAGCAAACAGGAUUAGAUACCCGUGUAGUCCCUGUCUCUUAUAC
RNAcentral lists this ribosomal RNA (301 nucleotides) under uncultured bacterium. RNAcentral describes it as "partial 16S ribosomal RNA". It matches the Rfam family "Bacterial small subunit ribosomal RNA", at positions 509 to 807 of the family's 1533-position model. The record is from RNAcentral.